CGCCGCGUAGUCCAACGGUACGAUGUCAGCAUUUUCAGCAUUUGAAUCAGCUGGAGAUUGCGGGUUCAAUUCCCGUCGCGGCCA
Non-coding RNA from Mycena vitilis, 84 nucleotides. NCBI's taxonomy places the organism in Eukaryota, Fungi, Basidiomycota, Agaricomycetes, Agaricales, Mycenaceae. The record is from the annotation of a GenBank genome assembly.